AACGUAGGAGGCGAGCGUUAUCCGGAUUUACUGGGUGUAAAGCGCGUGCAGGCGGCUUCGUGAGUCGUGCGUGAAAGCUCCUGGCUCAACCGGGAGAGGUCGUGCGAUACUGCGGAGCUGGAGGUAGGUAGAGGCGUGUGGAAUUCCGGGUGUAGUGGUGAAAUGCGUAGAGAUCCGGAGGAACACCAGUGGCGAAGGCGACACGCUGGGCCUGACCUGACGCUAAGACGCGAAAGCAUGGGGAGCGAAC
Molecule: ribosomal RNA, 250 nt
Filed under: uncultured bacterium
Lineage: Bacteria
Description: partial 16S ribosomal RNA
Rfam family: Bacterial small subunit ribosomal RNA
Source: RNAcentral